CUGGUUGAUCCUGCCAGUAGUCAUAUGCUUGUCUCAAAGAUUAAGCCAUGCAUGUGUAAGUAUAAGCCCUUGAACGGCGAAACUGCGAAUGGCUCAUUAAGACAGUUAUCGUUUCUUUGAUGACCAAUUGCUACUUGGAUAACUGUAGUAAUUCUAGAGCUAAUACAUGCGGAUGCCUUUCGGGGCUAGCGUUUAUUAGAUACAAAGCCAACAUUUCCUUUUGGAAAUUCUGGUGAUUCAUAAUAACCAAGCGAAUCGGUCUUUUGACCGAUGCAUCUUUCAAGCUUCUGACCUAUCAGCUAUUGACGGUAGGGUAUUGGCCUACCGUGGCGAUGACGGGUGACGGGGGAUCAGGGUUCGAUUCCGGAGAGGGAGCCUGAGAAACGGCUACCACAUCUAAGGAUGGCAGCAGGCGCGCAAAUUACCCAAUCCUGACACAGGGAGGUAGUGACAAGAAAUAACAAUACAGGGCUUUUAGUCUUGUAAUUGGAAUGAGUGGAUGUUAAAUCUAUCCACGAGUAUCAAUUGGAGGGCAAGUCUGGU
Molecule: ribosomal RNA, 543 nt
Filed under: uncultured eukaryote
Lineage: Eukaryota
Description: SSU rRNA
Rfam family: Eukaryotic small subunit ribosomal RNA
Source: RNAcentral